UACGUAGGGAGCAAGCGUUGUUCGGAUUUACUGGGCGUAAAGGGCGCGUAGGCGGCGUGGUAAGUCACUUGUGAAAUCUCCGAGCUUAACUCGGAACGGUCAAGUGAUACUGCUGUGCUAGAGUGCGGAAGGGGCAACUGGAAUUCUCGGUGUAGCGGUGAAAUGCGCAGAUAUCAGGAGGAACACCAAUGGCGAAGGCAGCACUCUGGGACGUGACUGACGCUGAGACGCGAAAGCGUGGGGAGCAAACAGG
This 253-nucleotide ribosomal RNA is filed under the name uncultured bacterium. RNAcentral's name for it is "partial 16S ribosomal RNA". It matches the Rfam family "Bacterial small subunit ribosomal RNA", at positions 524 to 776 of the family's 1533-position model. The record is from RNAcentral.